GCUGCAAUGAUGAUAUCUAAUCUUUAGUCGGAAUCCCCUUCACUCCAUCUAUGAGUGAUACACGCAGUCUGAUAAGC
This is a small nucleolar RNA of Colossoma macropomum (tambaqui), 77 nucleotides long. RefSeq annotates it as small nucleolar RNA SNORD101. The transcript has a single exon. The record is from RefSeq and is a predicted model, not a curated record. Lineage: Eukaryota; Metazoa; Chordata; Actinopteri; Characiformes; Serrasalmidae.